UACCUGUCUCCUCCCAUAGUUAGUUGCCAAGCACUGUGGAUUCUACCCCUCAGGGUCCAGACACCCAUUUUCCUUCCCACUGUUCCCUCCCCAUGGAGAAGCCUGUGGCUGACUGACAGCUCAACUUGGAGAAGGUGUUACCUGGGCCAGGUGGGGAAGGUAGGGUUGUUUGCAGAGCAAAGAAGUGAAGAGUCUUUUUUAUUCACAGUAUGAAAAUCAAGUGUAAUUUUUUUCAAAGAAGAAAAAAAAGCCAGUAUGGAGAAAAUGGUACAGACAUAAUUUAAUGAAUCCACAGCAGCUACAAAAGUCAGCUAAUAUAAUGUGCCACAAGCACUAACAUAAAAUCUAUGACAUACGCCACAGAUCUGGUUUCUCGCAAGAUCUAAACUCAGCAUCUGUCAGGAAAUAAACAGGAUAUGCUGACAACAG
RNAcentral lists this non-coding RNA (429 nucleotides) under Pongo abelii (Sumatran orangutan). The record is from RNAcentral. Lineage: Eukaryota; Metazoa; Chordata; Mammalia; Primates; Hominidae.